GACGAACGCUGGCGGCGUGCUUAACACAUGCAAGUCGAACGGAAAGGCCCUGCUUUUGUGGGGUGCUCGAGUGGCGAACGGGUGAGUAACACGUGAGUAACCUGCCCUUGACUUUGGGAUAACUUCAGGAAACUGGGGCUAAUACCGGAUAGGAGCUCCUGCUGCAUGUUGGGGGUUGGAAAGUUUCGGCGGUUGGGGCUGGACUCGCGGCUUAUCAGCUUGUUGGUGGGGUAGUGGCUUACCAAGGCUUUGACGGGUAGGCCGCCUGAGAGGGUGACCGGCCACAUUGGGACUGAGAGACGGCCCAGAAUCCUACGGGAGGCAGCAGUGGGGAAUAUUGCACAAUGGGCGGAAGCCUGAUGCAGCAACGCCGCGUGCGGGAUGCCGGCCUUCGGGUUGUAAACCGCUUUCGCCUGUGACGAAGCGUGAGUGACGGUAAUGGGUAAAGAAGCACCGGCUAACUACGUG
Molecule: ribosomal RNA, 468 nt
Filed under: uncultured bacterium
Lineage: Bacteria
Description: partial 16S ribosomal RNA
Rfam family: Bacterial small subunit ribosomal RNA
Source: RNAcentral